GACAGAGGGUGCAAACGUUGUUCGGAAUUACUGGGCGUAAAGCGCGUGUAGGCGGCCCUGCAAGUCGGGUGUGAAAUCCCAUGGCUCAACCAUGGAAGUGCACUCGAAACUGCAGGGCUAGAGUCCUGGAGAGGAAGGUGGAAUGCUUGGUGUAGAGGUGAAAUUCGUAGAUAUCAAGCGGAACACCGGUGGCGAAGGCGGCCUUCUGGACAGUGACUGACGCUGGGACGCGAAAGCGUGGGGAGCAAACAGG
This 253-nucleotide ribosomal RNA is filed under the name uncultured bacterium. RNAcentral's name for it is "partial 16S ribosomal RNA". It matches the Rfam family "Bacterial small subunit ribosomal RNA", at positions 524 to 776 of the family's 1533-position model. The record is from RNAcentral.